Molecule: long non-coding RNA, 997 nt
Organism: Cyprinus carpio (common carp)
Lineage: Eukaryota; Metazoa; Chordata; Actinopteri; Cypriniformes; Cyprinidae
Source: Ensembl
CAAAUGUCCAGAGGACGCCUGGCUUUUAUUAUAAGGCGAGGCGGUGCUCUACAGAUGACGGACAGCUGCGUCAGCCAAUAAAAGACGCGACGUCCAUUCCACGGCCAAUGGUUGCAUCGCGGGGGCGGGGCUAGCUCGCUGUUUUAUUCGCAGUCUCGCCGAGCAAGAGGAGAAUCCCAAAGAAAUGACAUCCAGCUUUUCCAGAAGAAACCGCGGCGCUUAGACACGCUCUCCUGAAGUUUCCCUCCUCACAUCAGCACGGAUUACAGCUCGUUCUUCAGAUAUGUAGUGAUUAGACUUCGGAAUGUGUGUUUAAUACAGAAGGACAGUGUUUUUCCACACGAUUCUGAUUCCAAACUCCCUCAGCUUCUAUUCGGACAUGUGUGAUUUAAUGCCAGCGGCUCAGCCGGCCGAGAAAAUCGGGAAAAUGAAGAAAUUAAGAAGAACUCUGUCGGAGAGCUUCAGUCGCAUCGCCUUCAAGAAAGAAGACAGCGGCUUUGACGAGCAGGUGAAGAGAUUUUAGCAGACAGUGAGCUAGCAGACUAUUUAUUUUGGGUGAACGAGCGGUGAGCCGUGACGGAGAACAGGUACAUUGACUCUAGAUGCAGCCAGGAUUCGCUGCUGGUUUUGACUCGGUGCUUUGCUGAUUAUAUGAAAAAUGUGAUAAUGUAUAUAUAUAUACAGUACAGGUCAAAAGUUUGGAAACAUUACUAUUUUUAAUGUUUUUGAAAGAAGUCUCUUUUGCUCAUCAAGCCUGCAUUUAUUUGAUCAAAAAUACAGAAAAAACAGUAAUAUUGUGAAAUAUUAUUACAACUUAAAAUAAUAGUUUUCUAUUUGAAUAUACUUUAAAAAAAAAAUGUAUUCCUGUGAUGCAAAGCUGAAUUUUCAGCAUCAUUACUCCAGCCUUCAGUGUCACAUGUAACAUCCAGUCUAUCACAUGAUCAUUUAGAAAUCAUUCUAAUAUGAUGAUUCAUUAUCAAAGUUGGAAACAGUUCUG